UUAAUUUCUUACCUUUUCAUAGAUGCAAAUUUGAUUUUGAGCAAGUAGAGAAGCAAUAUACGAUAGCAUACAUCAAGAAAGAGUAGAAGAAUGUUCUUUUCAGCAUAUAUAUAUAUAUAUAUAUAUAUAUAUAUAUAUAUAUAUAUAUAUACGACUAUAAUUUUUUCCUGUAAAUACACCGAUGUACUACCAUCUCAUUACAAAUUAUGUAUCAUGCCAAGGAAAAAGCAUUUUACUUUUCAGCAUAUAUACGAUCAUACGGUAGUCACACAUAUAAGCAGCACCACAAAAACAAACACACAAACAUGACACCGGGAAAAAUCAGGAACAGAGGAAUUAACACGACAAUAAGCAGUAAACAAAUAGGGUAGAAAAGUGCAGUGCUUAGAAAAGAAUGACAAGGACAAACCUUGACCAAAGGAACAGAGAAGGAGCAACCUUAGCGAUUCUAGAGCCUGCAAAAUAAAAGGAAAGGAAGGUUAGCCAAACAAGCCAGUUUGUUCAAUACCUAACACAACAACAAAUCAAAGACAACCUAGCUUUACAUGGCAGAAAUUUCAAGUAAGAGAAAAAAUAUAUAAUAUGAUAUCUAACUGUGUGAAUACAUUAGGAAAUACCACUUCCAAAUUAGAGCGCGCCAUUCCCUAAAACUCGAGGACUCAAUAUUUAGAAACUACACAUCAUGAUAGUCAGUUGUUCUACAGCAGCAAGCUAAAUAACACCUAGGUUGUGUAUUAUCUCAUCACACAAAGAAUGUAAAUCAUCACUCCAUAAGAUCAAGAUUUACUAUUUAUUCUACUUCUGCCCCCAACGCAUGAAAAUGCAGCUCCAUUUGGAAUCUGCUCUCCAGUCAAGUAUUUUCUUAAGCAAAUAGGCACAUAGCAAAAAAACAAACCAGACUCCCGCCUCCAUAUAUGCUUCACAGAUAGUUUUUUACCAAUUCUAGUUCUGCUUGAAACAUCAAGCAUAAUUGGCUACUGAUUCAUUUCUAAAAUAGAAGUGCACCAAAAAAUAACUAUUUGAAAUUACAAAUAGGGAUAGGCCAAUAGAUGACCUCUUAAUUCCAUAGGCAUCACAAAAUCCCCAAAAACUAGUACAAUUAUCAUUUUAUAAAUGUUCGCACCUUAAAGUUAACAAUCUCCUCAAAUUAGCAUACAGGGCUAACAUAAACUUAAGCAAGACUGUUCAAAUGAUCAUGGUACAUGGUGGAUUUAUCAUAAUUGAUAUUUGGCUGGAAGUGGGCUACAUUCUACAGAUAUUCUGAAGCUCAUUUUCAGUAGUCAGAUAAAUCGACCUGCUACAGCCGCCUCCAACCGCCCACCAACACCCACGACAGGCCACCAUGGACGACGCGCACCUAAUUCCACCAGGAAGCCAAUCAUGUACCAUCGCUAGUGUAUGCGCCCCUGAAGUGCACAGUGAGGCAGAUCUUCCCUUCGUGGUAUAUCUGCAUCAAUAUCCCAUCCACAACAAGAAUCACGGCCAAGAAUGAUUAUCACCC
This 1501-nucleotide long non-coding RNA is filed under the name Triticum aestivum (bread wheat). Its description in RNAcentral is "long non-coding RNA (TAES_LNC014752)". The record is from RNAcentral. Lineage: Eukaryota; Viridiplantae; Streptophyta; Magnoliopsida; Poales; Poaceae.